CCAGUUCCGUGGAGAAAAAUCUGGGCUGAACUUACAUGUGGUUGUGUUCCUUUGAGCCCCAGAGCACAGAAGGAAAAUGCCCAAGACCGACGGCAGUGAGGAUCAAGGUUCUUGCUGGCUCCCAAACCCAGAGAACUGCGGGGACACUGGCCACCUAGGGUCGUGGAUCCUUACCUCUCGGGGACACCCACCAGAACCCAUCGGUGGAGGGAUCUCAGAACACAGAGGAGGGAAUAGAGAUCCAGCACUCCUCUGCUCCCUUGGAGAUGGAAGGCAGAUGGAAUUAACAGGGAACCGUUUUCUGACGUGUCACGGCCAGGAGUUGGCAGUUACCCACUUUCAGGUGCAGCGACGGUGUCCCCACCUGCAGGGAUGGUGAGGCGCAUCCAAUCCCGGGGCUCUGAUCAGGUGAGAAGUCCAAUGAAACCCAAACUUGUCCUCUGGACAAGGCUGCUCCGUGAAAUAGAGCUGCCCCUCAGUGAGUCUGGCUGUCUCUCCGGGCCCCUCGCCAAGCCUCAGAAGCACCUUAACUCGAAGCCCUGCUGAUUCAAAGCACCGCCUUCUGUUCUGGGCAAGCCUCGGCCAGGAAAAGUCAGAUGGAAAAUCUAAGGCUCUCGCUCAUGGAGCACGUCAGGAACAGAGCUCAGGAGAGAAGCCGUCUCUCUAUGCCCGCGUAAGUAGAUGGCUGUGCCUCCACCUGAAGGGUCCCUCAGAAGUAUGUCACCUCAAAAAUUCUGGACUCAGGGGGCACCUGGGUGGCUCAGUCGGUUGAGCGUCCGACUUCAGCUCAG
Prionailurus viverrinus (fishing cat) is the source of this 791-nucleotide long non-coding RNA. RefSeq lists it as uncharacterized. The transcript is spliced from 5 exons. NCBI's taxonomy places the organism in Eukaryota, Metazoa, Chordata, Mammalia, Carnivora, Felidae. The record is from RefSeq and is a predicted model, not a curated record.